AUUCAGCUGACGAGUCCCAAUUUAGAUGAAAUGCACGUCCUGGAU
Non-coding RNA from Schistosoma mansoni, 45 nucleotides. NCBI's taxonomy places the organism in Eukaryota, Metazoa, Platyhelminthes, Trematoda, Strigeidida, Schistosomatidae. The record is from Rfam.